Molecule: ribosomal RNA, 465 nt
Filed under: Vreelandella stevensii
Lineage: Bacteria; Pseudomonadati; Pseudomonadota; Gammaproteobacteria; Oceanospirillales; Halomonadaceae
Description: partial 16S ribosomal RNA
Rfam family: Bacterial small subunit ribosomal RNA
Source: RNAcentral
CCUACGGGUGGCAGCAGUGGGGAAUAUUGGACAAUGGGCGAAAGCCUGAUCCAGCCAUGCCGCGUGUGUGAAGAAGGCCUUCGGGUUGUAAAGCACUUUCAGUGGGGAAGAAAGCCUUGGGGCUAAUACCCUCGAGGAAGGACAUCACCCACAGAAGAAGCACCGGCUAACUCCGUGCCAGCAGCCGCGGUAAUACGGAGGGUGCGAGCGUUAAUCGGAAUUACUGGGCGUAAAGCGCGCGUAGGCGGUCUGAUAAGCCGGUUGUGAAAGCCCCGGGCUCAACCUGGGAACGACAUCCGGAACUGUCAGGCUAGAGUGCAGGGGAGGAAGGUAGAAUUCCCGGUGUAGCGGUGAAAUGCGUAGAGAUCGGGAGGAAUACCAGUGGCGAAGGCGGCCUUCUGGACUGACACUGACGCUGAGGUGCGAAAGCGUGGGUAGCAAACAGGAUUAGAUACCCUAGUAGUC